This 252-nucleotide ribosomal RNA is filed under the name uncultured bacterium. RNAcentral's name for it is "partial 16S ribosomal RNA". It matches the Rfam family "Bacterial small subunit ribosomal RNA", at positions 524 to 776 of the family's 1533-position model. The record is from RNAcentral.
UACGUAGGUGGCAAGCGUUGUCCGGAUUUACUGGGCGUAAAGAGCGCGCAGGCGGUCGUUCAAGUCGCGUGUGAAAGCCCCCGGCUCAACUGGGGAGGGUCACGCGAUACUGAUCGACUCGAAGGCAGGAGAGGGUAGUGGAAUUCCCGGUGUAGUGGUGAAAUGCGUAGAUAUCGGGAGGAACACCAGUGGCGAAGGCGACUACCUGGCCGGUACUGACACUGAGGAGCGAAAGCGUGGGUAGCAAACAGG